UUUUUCGAGCCGAACAGUGUAUUAUAUAUAUGUUGUUGAUUUUUAUAGGCUAUGUAGCUGUGCCAUCGAUGUAAGCAAUUUCAUCGCUGAGUUUUACGUGCCUACGGCGGCGUUCCGAGUGUGAUCUCGCUGAAUUUUUUGGGCAUCAUCCAUCGUCGAGAGUCUCGUGAACGACGCGGAUCGCAGGGUAAAUUCAGUAGUCGGGGAUAAGCUCUCGAUGUGAAUAGAGAACGAGCCGCCGCGGGUAUUAAGGGAAGCGAAAGUAUGUGCAUCCAUUGUCGAAACACGAUUCAUUUAUGGUGAUAAUAUGUCAAAGUCAAACAUAAGGAAAAUAACAGUUGACCCUACGAAAUGUAAUAUUGAUUCUCGGCGUCCAAGUGUUUUUGAAAGGUUGGGCACUAAACCGGCGGUCGCCACAGCCGCUCAAAACGCUACUGAUUUCUGCAGAAACUGGGCAGUCACUGGUAAUUGUUCAUACGGCAAGAGCUGCAAAUAUGCGAACACACAUACACUGACAAGUCCUUCCAAGCGAGUGAAGAAGGAUAAUGCACCUACAAAUCCUCCUUUGCUUAUCGAGGACCCAUUCAAGCGACUCACAUCUAAAAUUGUAAAGACCACAUCUCACAGUCCAGACUUGAACUUGGAAGAGUGGAACCAAACGGAUUUGGAGUACGAGGACGAAAAAGUACUUGAAAGACGGAGACAGCUCUUGCAGAGGGAGUUGGAAAUACAGAUGAAGAAAGACAAGGAGGUGCAUGGCAAGGAAAAAAUAAAGUAUAAAAAAAAGGCAAUGAGCAGUUCUUCCAGUUCGCGAAGUUCUAGUUCAUCCAGUAGCAGUACUAGUUCCAGUAGCGACGAUUCGUCCUCAAGUUCAACAUCUGAUUCUCGCAAGAAAGUCAAGAAAUUCAAGAAAACAAAGCAUAGUGCCUCGCCUGAAUUCGAUGAUGACAAAGAGAGAAAGAAAAAAUUAAAGUUAAAGCGUUUAGGAGCUAAUAUCGAAAAGUUGCCACCAAAAAAGAAACGCAAACUCGUCGAGUCCCCAAAGAAAGAUAGCCCUCCAAAAUCCAUAAAGAAACCAAACACUUUGCUUGUAGCUCAUAAACAUAUUUCUACACCUAGAGCCAAGUCACCCGCAGUGCCAGCAAGCGUCUCGUCGUCUCACGGUGGCGCCCAAGUGCCAACCAGUAAGGCCAAAGAGCGAACGAGAAGUGCUUCGCCGCGCUCAAAGCUGCGCGAGUCCGAAAAGGAUCGGCAUCACAAGAAAUUGCGCGAGUCCGAUGAAAUGGUCAAGGAGAUGCAGGCCCAGAAGAAGGCCGCCGCCGAGCGGAUAGAACGCUCGGAUAGGCUCGAUCGAGCGGGCAAGGACGUGGACAAGGGCAAGCUGCGUCCCCCCGAUGACAAGGGCAAGAGUGUAGAUCGCUCUAAGCCAAGAUCCAAGGACCGGGAACGCAGGUCCAGGACGCCACCAAUCGACAGAUUGAAGGGGCCCUAUUCGUCGGCCAAGGACAGCAACUCUUUGUCGGCCAAGUCGUCGUCCAAGCGCAGCCGCACUCCCCCGGACAAGUCGUCGUCGUCGUCGUCGCGCGCCAGAAACGAGUCGUCACGCCCGCAGGACAAGCAGCUGAGUCGCUCGCGCGAGCCCCACAAGCACGCGGAGCGCAGCAAGGACCGGGACGACGGCCGUGGCAAGCUCGACCGGCCCAAGUCGCUGAGCCAAGAUGAGCAGCAGAGAAAGGCCCGUGAGCUGGAGGACAAGCGCGCCAAGGACCGCCGAGAUAAGGAGCACAACGAUCGGGACUCUCGGAGCCACUCAAGCCUCGGCGCUCGGGACAAGCAGCGCGAUAGACGGCCCGAACGAGAGCGGGAGAGAGACCGCGACCGGGGGGAUAGGGACAGAGACAGGGAUAGAGAUCGAGACGGUGGCAAGCGGGAACGGGAAAGGGAGCGUGAACCUCUGGACAAGGCGACGCGCUACAAGGAUCGACCCAAAGAGCUAGGUCUGGAAAAGGGCUCGCGAGACCGAGACCGCGAGCGCCGACCCGAGCCCAAGUCCGGCGGGUCCUCGCAGCGCGGCUUCGAGGGACGCGAGCGCGACAAGUCUAGCUCCGGUCGCGAUCACCAACUGUACCGGCACAGAUACGCCAGCGGCCGGUUCGCCGACGAGCGAGCUAAGGAGCCGAUCAAGCUGGACAGAAGCAGAGAAAGCCCGAGGCGUGAGUUCGAGCGAGGCUAUGGAAGACUAGCACCGCCGCCUCCUCCACCACCACCGCCACCUCCGCCACCGCCACCACCGCCUCCGGAGCACUGGGACGAGCAGGAGGAGCCACCGGCCCACCUGGAUUAUCGCGACCAUCAUGGACACGAAGACGAGCGGAGGAAGUCUUCACUCGAGUCGCGCCGCUACAAUAGUCCCUUUGCAGAACGAGGACGAGCUGCCAGGGGCAGUGAUGAUAGGUCUUCAUCGAGAUAUGGCUUGUCGACGGAAAGACCUUUCCAGGAGCUACAUCAUCCUCUGUAUGCUGGCGAUAAGCUGAGACCUGCGCGGGACGAAGCGAACAGCGACAACUGGGACGUGCACCACGAUGGGCUCGAGCGUGAGCGUCCUUACGCGGCGGCAAACGACUGGGAGGAUCGCGAGUGGCGCGGUCGAGCUAUGUGGGACCGGGAAAGUCUUCCCCGUUCCGAGGCCCACGAUGAAGAGUGGUCCUCGAGGUAUGACAAUCCCGAUUGGAAAGUUGGAGAGCCUAGGAAAUGGGAUAAUCAGUCGCUUCAUUUGCGCUCCUCUUACCGAAACGAUCGUAUUAAAGAGCUCGAACUGACGGAUUCAGCGCAUUGUAAACGAAGGCCAUUUGUAACUCCUGAUAGGCGCGAAGAGCUUCCAAGUCAUGCUGCGAAACAGGCACUGCACAAUAGCAUGAAAGACGAACCGAUUAACAAGAAAUUGAUGGAACUUGCCGAAGGCAGGCCGCGUAGAAGCAGAGAAAAAUCCGCCGAUAGCUUCCACAAGAAAAUGUUACCCAAGGAGAAACCUGAAGUGAAGGAGCCACCGCCUCCGGAACCAAAACGAUUCUGCCUGGACGAACCACUGCCUACUCUGCACACGGAGAGUGACCUUAGUGACAUUAGUGACGAUCCUGAUGACAUACUCAACAUGGAGGAAGAAAUAACGACUGACAUAAAGUGCCCACUCAAAAAGUCUCUGGACAAUGAUCGCGAUUCCGCGUCUGUAAAGAGUCAAGAACUUUCUCAUCCAUCACCAAAGCCACCAUUGGACGAUGGCGUUUUCUCGAAAGACAAGGAUACUGCCGAAGCAUAUAGCAAUAAGAAUAAUAUAGAAGAGGAAAGUAUGGAAACUAUGGACUUUGAAGAAAUUUCCGACGGCGAGUUGGAAGAGGAUAUCAAGACGAGCUGUAAAGGAUUGGGAGAUGCGCUUGGAGUUGAUUGGGAAAGUCUUGUUAAAGAAUCUCAGCCAAGGCGUCUCGCUAACACUAGUCAUGACAAUGCGCAGGAUCGUUGGCAGUGCAAGGCGGUAUUUCAACGCAUUGGUAUUUCGGUUAAAGCUGCGGGUCACGAGUUGGUUGAAAAACUCUUGAACAAAUACACUGAUAACGAGUCGAAUAAGUUACUUCUAAACAAUGUGGCAUUUGUACAUACAGCACUAGCUAGGAAACAGCUCUUGCCAAAUUCAUCAUACAAAUUAAUAAGCAACGAUGACUUGCUGUACAGAACUAAAAGUGAAGUGGAUGUGGAUGACAUAGAGAAUCUCGUACCUUGCACGAGUUUAUAUGAACAAGCUAAAAUGCUUCUUCAACAGACAGCAUAACGUGUGAAUGAGUGUGACUGAACAGUUUGUUAAAGUGUGUUGGAAAGAUUUCCAAUUUUGAAAAAUAUUGUACAUGAUAUAAACUCUAUGAUCUCACGAUAAUCGUGCGGAGCUACGAUAUCGCUCUUCAGGAUUUUCAUGGCUUCUAGUAGGACAUUUUCAUUUGCAGAUGAGUCAAUCUAAAUCAAGAUGUCAGAAAGUUUUAGUAACUUAAUUCUAAUCUUGAAUAUAAUAGUCAUAUUACCUGAUUUUUUAGCAACGUACAAACAUUGCUUUCUUUAGACGAUAUUCGUUUGACUUUCUCUGCAUUGGCGCAGUACAGUUCAUACAAAAUUAAUCCUAAAAAUUAAAUAAUUUCAAGUACCACUGUUAA
RNA transcript from Nasonia vitripennis (jewel wasp), 4196 nucleotides. It is a transcript of the gene named zinc finger CCCH domain-containing protein 13-like, with no coding region annotated. The record is from RefSeq and is a predicted model, not a curated record. The transcript has 9 exons. Lineage: Eukaryota; Metazoa; Arthropoda; Insecta; Hymenoptera; Pteromalidae.